Molecule: RNA transcript, 5687 nt
Organism: Oncorhynchus kisutch (coho salmon)
Lineage: Eukaryota; Metazoa; Chordata; Actinopteri; Salmoniformes; Salmonidae
Gene name: TBC1 domain family member 15-like
Exons: 17
Source: RefSeq, a predicted model, not a curated record
CACCCCUGUUAACGCUAAUGUUCCCUGGCGAAUGUUUGCGGAAGUGGAAGCUUGAACAAAUAACAGUUCAAUUAAUAAUCUCUGUUGUAUGCGAGAUACACUCAACUUUUUCAAUGAUCUCGUUAUUUGCGUCGUUGGUUUACAAUGAAUGUGUCAAAAAUCAGCAACACACAUUGACGAGUAUUUAGUUAUUUGUUCUGCCCUCCCAAAACAACUGGAAACGCGUGAGCUGUCCUACUACGUCGUCGUCAGCUGAGACAGGCGACAUGGCGACUUCAGCGGGCUUCAAGGUUCUAUAUGAGCAUGAUGGAGUUUUUAUACACACCAACCCAGAAAGGAGUGAGGAGCAGGAUUCUCUGACUUCAGGAUCCCUGCGUGUCCUAGACCAGGAUGGAGACAUAGUGCUGGAAUAUAAACCCGUGGAAGAUGUUGACCACUCUGCCAUGCUGUGUGCUGCCAAGGAGUCUAGCUCUGUGUUUGAAUGGGGCCAGCGGCACCAGGGUCCGAGCCAAGACCCAGGAGACCAGCCUACCAGGCAGGUGGAGCACCAGCUGAGCUGUGAGACAGAAUGGGACAUGGUUCACACUGUUCAGUUCAGGAAGAAACCCAGCAACCAUGAAGGUGCUCCUCCUCAACCCGCUCCCAUCCCAGAGAAGAGUAAGGGUUCCCGGCUGUUCUUCCGUCUCAGUGACCUGGCCUCGGUCAGGGUGAAGGAGGAGGGCUGGUCCUACCUGGUGUUCACCCUCAGAGACCGCAACAUGGGGGUUGAGCUGCCUGCCCUACACUUUCACCAGGGAGGUAGUGAAGUCUUCCUGGACUGUCUCAGGAAAUACAUGCUGCUGACAGAGUCUACCACAGAUGCCUCCCUCCUCCAGGUCAGCCCCCACAGCAGAGCUCUGUCCCAGUCCUUUGAGAACCUGCUGGAUGAUGCCACCUUCGGACUUAUUACGAAGUUUUCUCAGGACCCAGUCACCACUACGCUGGGUGGUUUCUCCAAGGUGACCAACUACCUGUUUGAUGCGUUCCGGAGUCCAGACACGGUGCUACUGAAGCAGAGGCCUGUCGGGGAGGUGGCUGACCUGCUGAAUGAGGCCAUACCUGGUCUGGACAUCAACCAGCUGGAGGAACCAGGCUUUGAGGUUAUCACCAGGAUUGAUCUUGGCGUGCUGCCAGUGGUCCGGCGUAGGGAGCCUGUUGGGGCGGAGGAGUGGAACACCAACAUGGACCCUGAGGGACGCAUGAGGAACAUCUCACACCUCAAACAGACCAUAUUCAAAGGGGGUCUGUGUCAUGUGUUGAGGAAGGAGGGAUGGAAGUUUCUGCUGGGCUACUUCCCCUGGGAGAGCACCCUGGAGGAGAGGAGGAGUCUGACCAGGAGGAAAACGGAUGAGUACUUCCGUAUGAAGCUCCAGUGGAAGUCAGUGAGUGAGGAGCAGGAGAAACACAACAGCAUGUUUAGAGACCACAGGAGUCUAAUAGAGAAAGACGUGAACAGGACAGAUCGGACCAACACUUUCUAUGAAGGACAAGACAACCCAGGACUGAUUCUGCUGCACGAUGUCCUCAUGACCUACUGCAUGUAUGACUUUGACCUGGGCUAUGUCCAGGGUAUGAGUGACCUGCUGUCUCCGAUCCUCUAUGUGAUGGAGGACGAGGUGGACGCCUUCUGGUGCUUUGUCUCCUUCAUGGACCAGAUGCACCAGAACUUUGAGGAGCAGAUGCAGGGAAUGAAGACUCAACUGACCCAGCUCAGCACUCUGCUACGGCUACUGGACCUGUCCUUCUGGAACUACCUGGGUGAGGGGAACACACACACACACUGCUACGACUACUGGACCUGUCCUUCUGGAACUACCUGGGUGAGGGAAACACACACACACACACUGCUACGACUACUGGACCUGUCCUUCUGGAACCACCUGGGUGAGGGGAACACACACACACACACACUGCUACGACUACUGGUCCUGUCCUUCUGGAACUACCUGGGUGAGGGGAACACACACACACACACUGCUACGACUACUGGACCUGUCCUUCUGGAACUACCUGGUGGCCCAGGACUCUGGUCACCUGUACUUCUGCUUCCGCUGGCUCCUGAUUCGCUUCAAGAGAGAACUGAGUUUCCCUGAUGUCCUGCGUCUUUGGGAGGUAAUGUGGACCGGGCUGCCGUGCCAGAACUUCCACCUGCUGGUGUGCUGUGCCAUCCUGGACUCAGAGAAACACCAGAUUAUGGAGGAACAAUAUGGCUUCAAUGAGAUCCUCAAGCUCAUAAAUGAACUACCGAUGAAACUGGACAUCGUGGUCAUCCUCAACAAAGCUGAAGCUAUAUGCCUGCAGCUGAAGAGUUGUAAGGAUUUGCCCAACUCCGUGGUUGAGAUGCUUGGAUUCAACAGCACAGACACAGAGUCAUCAUCCCAGUCAGAGGACACUGAGAGAACGGACAGACCGGACUCUCCCGAACCUUCUACACCGUCAGACGACCAGCAGGACUUAGUCUCUGAGUACAACGCCAGCGGCAACAACGGACACUUACGGGACGCAGCGCGUGACGUUUACAAAUUAGCCUACAUAUCGUAGCCAGCCUGGCUAACAGUAGUCUCUCGUCCAGUGAGAGAUUUGGUUCUGGUGGCUGAGACGAGGCUCACAGCCUGGUGAAAAAGGUGGAUUGCGCCUCUCCCACCUCACAGACCGAGGAGAGAUAGGAAACGGCUUCUCAGGGCAGUAUCUUUAUAAUAGAGCCCAAGAGCUAUUCAUUUACAGGAAGUUUUUGCAAAUCAAAUAAUUUUUGUAAUGAUUCUGUCUGUUAAUCAUCUAAUUUUUCUUGUUCGAUGGUGGUCUUUGAGUUUUUAGGAUAUUGUUCCUUAUUGCCCCUGACUAUAAGGUAUUUAGUGUUCAGCAGAUUGCUCCUUAUUGCCCCUGACUAUAAGGUAUUUAGUGUUCAGCAGAUUGCUCCUUAUUGCCCCUGACUCCCAGGUAUUUAGUGUUCAGCAGAUUGUUCCUUAUUGCCCCUGACUAUAAGGUAUUUAGUGUUCAGCAGAUUGUUCCUUAUUGCCCCUGACUAUAAGGUAUUUAGUGUUCAGCAGAUUGUUCCUUAUUGCCCCUGACUCCCAGGUAUUUAGUGUUCAGCAGAUUGCUCCUUAUUGCCCCUGACUAUAAGGUAUUUAGUGUUCAGCAGAUUGUUCCUUAUUGCCCCUGACUCCCAGGUAUUUAGUGUUCAGCAGAUUGCUCCUUAUUGCCCCUGACUAUAAGGUAUUUAGUGUUCAGCAGAUUGCUCCUUAUUGCCCCUGACUCCAAGGUAUUUAGUGUUCAGCAGAUUGUUCCUUAUUGCCCCUGACUAUAAGGUAUUUAGUGUUCAGCAGAUUGUUCAUUAUUGCCCCUGAGUAUAAGGUAUUUAGUGUUCAGCAGAUUGCUUGACUUGACUUGUUAAUCGCUCCUGAAUCGUGUGAAUAGUCAAAUGUAAUGCUGAAGUAGUUGACAUUUAAAUAGAGGUGGAAGGGCUGAGGAAUGGAUAAGGUUUUAUAUAAACAGGGCUUAUUAUAUCUCACUGUAGUAUUCAGCUAAUAGGAGCCCUACUGUAGGUGUAAUUCAAUUAGAACUAUUAGGCCCCUCUCCUCUACCAAAUGAAAAGGAUUUUCUGCCCUGCAGCCUAUUGACAUGGAUUUCACACAGUGUACAAAACAUUAAGAACACCUGAUCUUUACAUAAGACUGACCAGGUGAAUCCAUGACAGACUGACCAGGUGAAUCCAUGACAUAGACUGACCAGGUGAAUCCAUGACAUAGACUGACCAGGUGAAUCCAUGACAUAGACUGACCAGGUGAAUGCAUGACAUAGACUGACCAGGUGAAUCCAUGACAUAGACUGACCAGGUGAAUGCAUGACAUAGACUGACCAGGUGAAUGCAUGACAUAGACUGACCAGGUGAAUCCAUGACAUAGACUGACCAGGUGAAUCCAUGACAUAGACUGACCAGGUGAAUGCAUGACAUAGACUGACCAGGUGAAUGCAUUACAUAGACUGACCAGGUGAAUCCAUGACAUAGACUGACCAGGUGAAUGCAUGACAUAGACUGACCAGGUGAAUCCAUGACAUAGACUGACCAGGUGAAAGCUAUGAUCCCUUAUUGAUGUCACUUGUUAAAUCCUCUUCAAUCAGUGUAGAUGAAGGUGGAGGAGACAGGUUAAAGAAGGAGUGUUAAUCCUUGAGACAUGGAUUGUGUGCCAUCCAGAGGGUGAAGGGUCAAGACAAAAUAUUGAAGUGCCUUUGAACGGGGUAUGGUAGUAGGCGCCAGUCGCACCAGUUUAAGUGUGUGAAGAAUUGCAACGCUGCUGAAUUUUUCAACAGUCUUCGUGUGUAUUAACAAUGGUCCACCAUCCAAAGGACAUUCAGCCAACUUGACACAACUGUGGGAAACAUUGGAGUCAACAUGGGCCACUAUCCCUGCGGAACGCUUUCCACACCUUGUAGAGUCAACAUGGGCCACUAUCCCUGUGGAACGCUUUCAACACCUUGUAGAGUCAACAUGGGCCAGCAUCCCUGCGGAACGCUUUCCACACCUUGUAGAGUCAACAUGGGCCACUAUCCCUGCGGAACGCUUUCCACACCUUGUAGAGUCCAUGCCCUGACGAAUUGAGGCUGUUCUGAGUGCAAAAGGGGAUUGCAACUCAAUAUUAAGAAAGUGUUCCUAAUGAUUUGUCCACUCAGUGGUUUUCUAUGCCGCUGCCUAACUGACAUCUGAUUUGGUAAGACUGAAAGAGACGUGAUUUAUAUUGAAAAAACCUAUUGUUUCUGAAUCCAUAUUGUUAAUCGUACUAGAAUGUGUGGGUUGGCAUGGCGAUAAUGUAUGUACAAGUAAUUAUAUGUCUGUUCCUCUGGACUGAAGGUUCCCAGAAGUUGCUUCAACAAACACCCAACCUUACAGCAAUGUUUUUUUUGUUUGUUAAUGAUGUAGAGUUCAUGCUUAGCCAACCAUGAGGCCCUUUGUCAACAUGUACAGACAGACUUACGUCCCAUGUACUCGUUGAUAUGAUCUGUUUAGCUUCACUCGCCUCCCAAAACAUAGUGAAAUAAGGUUCUUGGUGUGUUUCACAUCAACACUGUGGGGAAGAUUUGUAAAGGAGUUGAUGUAGUCAUUGAUUUAUGUUGCAUGAUGAAAGUCUCAGCCUUCAAGGGAUUUAUCAGAAACAGUAAUGCUGGAAGACUGUUCGUACCUGAAUCUUUCUGUGUACAGAUGUGUCUAUUGCAGCAGUUUGUACUGUAUAUAUAUAUAUUUGAUACCGUCUUUAAAAACCAAUUAUGUUUUGAAAUCUUUUAUAGAAGCUGAAUUUCAUGACUCCUCUUUGUAUUGCUUUAGGUGGUAGGAGUAUCAGUGUCCCUCUCCUCUCUGUUCAGGUGUCUCUCCCAGUGCUGACAGCCGUCUAUGGGAGGAUCUCAAUGGCCUUUCCUUUGAUUUCUAGCAUCCUCGCUUCCUUCUCAACACGCAUUGGAUGAAAUGGUCAGAUGGGGAGGGAACUCUUACCUUCUCAUCCAAUGGGUUUUAAGAAGGAGGUGAGAAGAGAGGAUGCGAAGAAUCAAGGAAAAGCAAUUGAGGUUCUCUCCAUGUCUCAACGGGCGUGGCCAGUCUGUUCACAGUUCCACAUAUCCUGUGGCUAGAAAUAUAACUAAAUGAACCAUAAUGUCCCAUA